Molecule: long non-coding RNA, 401 nt
Filed under: Mytilus galloprovincialis (Mediterranean mussel)
Lineage: Eukaryota; Metazoa; Mollusca; Bivalvia; Mytilida; Mytilidae
Source: RNAcentral
AUCGACUGAAUGAGAUAAUUUGAAUCGUUAAAAAUUUAGAAUUAUACAUGAAAACAGAUGCCUGCGACCCCUGUUGUUUCGAUUAGCAUGUUUUCUAAAGAUAUCCGCGUGAAGUUCACAAAUUUCAUCGUGUAUUUGAUCACCUGUUGUGAAUUUCAGAUAACACUGUCAAGUUCAGUCAAACUCGUGGUUAAAACUUUCCUUUACAUAUCAGUAAUAUUAUUUUCCGGGCAGGGUACUCCCCCCUUUUUUAUAUCAUACUCGGAACAUUAUUGUAUACACUUUUUCUGUGGUACUUUCUUUAUAUUUUUAGGCGGCAUGCAAUGAAAUUUUGGAAAAUUUGCUGAUUAGUUUGAGAAUAUCAGGGACAUAAAUUCAUUAGUAUGUGCUUCGAUUGGCUU